This 78-nucleotide transfer RNA is filed under the name Sorangium sp. So ce836. The record is from RNAcentral. Lineage: Bacteria; Pseudomonadati; Myxococcota; Polyangiales; Polyangiaceae.
AUGUAGUGCCUCGUGUUGGUGCCCUUGGCUUCGGCCCGGGGCUCAAAAGGGAACCCGGUGCGAAUCCGGGGCUGCCCC